This 526-nucleotide long non-coding RNA is filed under the name Salmo trutta (river trout). RNAcentral's name for it is "lncRNA (ENSSTUG00000018574.1)". Lineage: Eukaryota; Metazoa; Chordata; Actinopteri; Salmoniformes; Salmonidae. The record is from RNAcentral.
ACAUCUACAGAUACUGUGUGUUAUGACUGUACUGGUGAUACCUAUUCAGAUGGAUCAUUUACAUCCUGCCAGACACACACACAGUAAGUAUGGCUCAUGUAUAAUGGUUAUUUCCUUCAAAUACUGCAAAAUGUGAACAGUUUUCAUAAUGUAAAACUGAAAGUUGGAUGACUAAAUUGUCGAUUUACCAGUGGUCUAUUUCUCUUAUUAUAGAUGUGAUACCUUGAAGCUUCAGCAAAUUAAACCUGGAACUCAUUGGUCCGACUUUGAAUGUGGACCACAGACCUCCCCUCCCAUAGCAAUAAUAUCUGCUGUGGUGGUGGGGGUGGUACUAGCUGUGAUAUCAGCAGUGAUGGCAGUAGCUAUUAGAAGAAAAAGAAAAGCUCCUGUAUCUGGGAGGACUUUUCCAGAGACACAAAGCCCUACAGAGGUAUCAGACACAGAGGGAACAUCAAUGCUGUUUGUGGGAACAAGAACAGGUAAGGUGGCCUAUAACAUCAGAAUGGUACAGUAUGCCUGUUCAUGA